RNAcentral lists this long non-coding RNA (3430 nucleotides) under Helianthus annuus (common sunflower). RNAcentral's name for it is "hypothetical non coding rna". The record is from RNAcentral. Lineage: Eukaryota; Viridiplantae; Streptophyta; Magnoliopsida; Asterales; Asteraceae.
UCACCACCACCUCUGUUCACUGCCAACACUCCGCCAUACACUCCCAACCGAUCACCACCUCAACUCCGCCACCUCCGGCAACCCACCUCCGACCAUCAUCACCUCCAAACCCUUAAUUUUCACCAACUCAACCGCCACAACCUCAAUUCUCCCGGCGCUCACCAUCCACCUGAAAAAAACUGUUCAAGAGGUACGUUGAGAUCAACCAUUAGCAGAAUGGGCAGAAUUAUGAACUGCAACUUUCUUUUGCUAAUUUCUUUUUGCGAAACUGCUACAGUUGUAAAACGCAACACAAGAAAAAGCUUUAAAAUAAAUUUCUUUUGAACUGUAACUUUCUUUUGCUGCUUUCAUUGAGUUUAAUAUUGUCACUACAAGACAAAAUCAAUUUUCAUGUUUGAUUCAUAGAUGCAAAAGAAAUUCAGAAUCUAACCAUUUUGCAAUUUUCAAGAGUUUUUCAAUUGCGUUUUACCAAACAAUUAAAAAGCAUAUUUUUAGGGUUUUAACUCAUUGCGUUUUAUUAAAAAAAACAUAUUUUUUUUGUGUUUUUAGCCCGUUAGGUUUUAGAAAAAAACACCUCUUGGUGUUUUUAAUCCAUUGCGUUUUAGAAAAAAAACACUUUCUUUUGUGUUUUUUGUCUAUUGCGUUCUAGGAAAAAACACAUUUUUAUGUGUUUAUUGAUCCAUUGCGUUUUAGAAAAACACAGUUUGAAGUGUUUUUAGCCCAUUGCGUUUUAGAAAAAACAUUUUCUUUUGUGUUUUUAAGCUAUUGCGUUUUAGAAAAAAGACAUUUUUAAGUGUUUUUUUGGUCCAUUGCGUUUUAGAAAAACACACUUUGAAGUGUUUUUAGUCCAUUGCGUUUUAGAAAAAUGUCAUUUUUUAGGUUUUUUUUUCAUUGCGUUUUACGCAACUGGGUUUUUUCAUUGCGUUUUACGCAACUGGGUUUUCAAAAAAAAAAUUUCGAAAAUAUAGCAAUAGUAUACUCGUUUUAAAGAUAAAAAAACGCUCGUUUUUUUUGGUGCAAUUUUUAUAAAAAAAUAAUGUCGUAUGAAAGUGUUAUUAACGUUUAAAAAAUGGGGGGGGGGAGGAGGAGAGAGAAACUAUUGCAUUGGAUUGACUAGAAUGCCCCUAAACAAACUCACGCGCCUCUUUUCUUCUCUUCAAUUUCCAUCAUUUAAUCUUAGCCCUUGAUUAACUAAAUGGAUGGCCAAGAUCACUUCCUAGCCUUCUUAGCCAAAUAAACUUCCUAUUGUAUCUCCACCCUAUUAGAUAGAAUCAAAAUCAAGAGCAUAUGUAUUUAUUAAUUUCUCGGUCAUCAUCGUCUUGUAUAUACAUAUUUUUCAAUUAUAUUUAACUAUAUGCUUUAGGUGUUUACUGUUCAAAAAAUAAUAUUUUUUAAACAGCGUUUGAAGCUACCCUCAAUACUUGAGUGAGCCUUCCUAAGAUGGAAUGACAAAUGUUCAUACUGAUUUUGAUGCUUGAAGCCUGACUCACCUAAGAACAACAUGAAGGAGGAAAUUGUAAAAUUUAUGGUAUCAAAAUACACCAAAUCAGAAAUACCCAAACCGAAAGAGUUUUUACCCAAAAACAGAAUAUUCUGAAUACAGAUUACAAAGAACCGAAAUACGAAUCACGCACACUCUCUAAAGAUCAUCAACACGAUGAUCUUAACAACUGAGACGAGAGCCACAACUUCUGCGAACAAACAAUACUCAAAAAAGAAACCCUAAUCGCCCUAAGAGAGAGAGAACGGACAGAACUUGCAAAAAUAUCUCUGUGUGUAACCAAACUGAUACGGGUCGAAGUCUUUUAUAGACACCCAAUACUUGAACCCGGAUAUCCAGGAGAGUUGUUAUAACAACUUGAAUCCAUGCUGCACUAAUGAACUUGUUAUAUCUUCACUUGACAACUUGACCCAUUAAGCAAGCCCAGAUCCUUGUGCUACAAGCCCAAUACGUGAACUGCAACAAGCCCACUUACCUACAAAUUAACAAACCAAUAACAAGUCACUGCAACACUAAUCAAAUAAUUAAAAUUUUAUAGAAGUUGCUGAAUAAACAAACGUUAGAAAUAAUGAAAUUGUAGUAUAUCAUUGAAUAUUUUCAACACCCCCCCCCUCAAUUUCAUCAUUUAAACGCAUCAAAAAGCUUCAACUCAUUACACAGAAAAUGAUGUGUUUUUACCAGAACCCCUUUGGUAAAUAAGUCAGCAACCUGACUCUCAGAUCUUACUCCAACACAUUUUAUUGUACCUUUAGCAAUUAGAUCACGCAAAAAGAAUAGAUCCAACUCAAAAUGUUUGGUCCUAUCAUGAAAAACUGGAUUAGCUGCAAUUGAUAUUGCAGCUUUAUUAUCACAAUACACACUAAUAGGAAGUUUAACGUCUACUUGCAACUCACUUAAUAAAUUUUUAAGCCAAACUGUCUCACAUGCAGUAGCACACAUAGCUCUAUACUCGGCCUUAGCUGAGGACCUAGAAACAGUUGUUUGUUUCUUACUUUUCCAGGACACCAAGUUAUUACCUAAAAAACGCAAAAACCUGUAACAGAUUUCCUAGAAACUAAGCAUUUAGCCCUGAUGUGCGUUAGGUGUAAUAUAUUUUUAGAUGUUUAUUUAAGCCCUUUUUACACUUUUAGCCAAGUUUUAAAUUUAUAAAACACGAUAUUCACUAACACUAAACACACAUAUGGGCAAGUGCACCCAUCGUGGACGUAGUAUAGUGUUGGUAAGAUACCGAGGUCGUCCAAGGACACAAGAGCUUUUAAUACCGGUUUAUCCUCAACGUCUAAUCGAAUCAAAAAGUUAGAAAAUUGUUUUAAACUAAGAAAAAUAAAAACUAACUAAAUGCUGAAAAAGAAAAUAAAAACAGAUAGACAAGAUGAAUCACUUGGAUCCGACACGUGUAUUAGCCCCUCUUUUGAAGGCGACGUUACCCUCAACCCAGUAGUUUGAGUCAGCAAGGAUACAAUCCUAAAGGGUCGGAUUAUUGGAAGAUAAUGAAUUAAGUUAUUAAUGCAAAUUAUGGUAGGCCCCGCUUUUGGCGGUGACGUUACCCUCGGCUAAGUAGUCUGAGUCAGCAGGGAUACAGUCCUAAAUAGCCGGGUUAUAGUAUUAAUAGUAGUUAGCUUAUGAGGGGGUCAAAGAGUUUGGAUCCCCGCCAUCCAAUACCUAUGGGCAUUGAAGGAGAUCCUACUAAAUUUGACCCAGGUCCCAAGCAGGACCUCUAAACGCUGAACAAGGGCAAGACCCUUACCAAACCGUUCCCUUAACCCCCGACCAGGUAGCCAACAUACCUCCAUAUAGACUGUGGAGAUAUGAAUGGUGAAAAUCUUUUAUUUUAUAUAGACAAUAAAAUAAUGCCAAGACACCACGGACAAACGAUAAGGAAAGAUCACCUUCAACAUAAGUAACUAGUUAUUAAAGUCAUUAAUACAA